CGUAUGGUGCAAGCGUUUAUCCGGAUUUACUGGGUGUAAAGGGAGCGCAGGCGGUGCGGCAAGUCUGAUGUGAAAGCCCGGGGCUCAACCCCGGUACUGCAUUGGAAACUGUCGUACUAGAGUGUCGGAGGGGUAAGUGGAAUUCCUAGUGUAGCGGUGAAAUGCGUAGAUAUUAGGAGGAACACCAGUGGCGAAGGCGGCUUACUGGACGAUAACUGACGCUGAGGCUCGAAAGCGUGGGGAGCAA
RNAcentral lists this ribosomal RNA (247 nucleotides) under uncultured bacterium. Its description in RNAcentral is "partial 16S ribosomal RNA". It matches the Rfam family "Bacterial small subunit ribosomal RNA", at positions 526 to 771 of the family's 1533-position model. The record is from RNAcentral.